Molecule: ribosomal RNA, 405 nt
Filed under: uncultured bacterium
Lineage: Bacteria
Description: partial 16S ribosomal RNA
Rfam family: Bacterial small subunit ribosomal RNA
Source: RNAcentral
GACGACGCUGGCGGCGUGCCUAAUACAUGCAAGUAGAACGAGUUGCGAACGGGUGAGUAACGCGUGGUAACCUGCCUGAUGGAGGGGGAUAACUACUGGAAACGGUAGCUAAUACCGCAUCCCAUCAGAUGUGCCCAGAUGGGAUUAGCUAGUAGGUGGGGUAAUGGCUCACCUCGGCGACGCUCCCUAGAUGGUCUGAUAGGAUGACCAGCGCCACUGGAACUGAAACACGGUCCAGAUUCCUACGGGAGGCAGCAGGGGGGAAUAUUGCACAAUGGGCGCAAGCCUGAUGAAGCCAUGCCGCGUGUGUGAAGAAGGCCUGCGGGUUGUAAAGCACUUUCAUCGAGGAGGCGUGACUCGCAGAAGAAGCACCGGAUAACUCCGGGCCAGCAGCCGCGGUAAUAC